CACCUGCCGAACAACUUGUGUUACGCUUGGCAGGUGGCAUUUGUUAGUAGCUGGGCGUGUUGGCAAAAUCCAGCGAAGAAAUUACAUUAUUUCAACCUCUAAAUUAUGUGAAAACCAAUAUCCACGCGAGUAAAUCAACGGAAACUGUACAGCGAAACACGAUGAAUUUGCCAAGGUAAACACUGCCGUGGACUGCUUUCAUACGAUCAUCUUCUCACGUGCACAUAACCCGUGAGAUGUUCGUUCGGUGAUCUACAACAGACGUGGAUUACAGUAAAUGCACAAGAAACAGAAUCUGAGAGCGAGAGGGAGAGAGAGAGAGAGGAGAGAAGAGACAGAGC
This 341-nucleotide long non-coding RNA is filed under the name Priapulus caudatus. RNAcentral describes it as "uncharacterized LOC106818080, transcript variant X2". The record is from RNAcentral. Lineage: Eukaryota; Metazoa; Priapulida; Priapulimorpha; Priapulimorphida; Priapulidae.